AUGGCAGCAAUGACGCCUACCCACUGUUCGACUGAAUUCCGAAGCAGCGCUACACAUCCGAUACAAGCAAAGUCAGCAACUAAAAUCAUGGAGUCGUCACUGCCAACAACUUUGGUCAUGCCUGUCACCUCUGCGCACUUGGAUGCCCAUGAAUCCAUCUGCAUUCCCAGGUCAGCGGAGCUCAACGCCAUCGUCACUGUCGUCCCAAUACAGUCCAUGGUGACAAGUGCCAUCGUUGAAGAAUGCAUCGACAAGGACAGUCCGGAGAGGAACAUGUCUUUUGUGGCGCCACUAUCACGAUUUUCUAUCAGCCCUGUGUGUCAGGUGCUUGACGUCGGUUUCCUUCCUGUAGAGAUACGACCACCAUGGCCACCACCUCUGGUUUGCAGCAGCACACUGAUCACUCAAAUGGAUUGGUGUAGCAAAGAGAAGGGGAUACCACAGCCGGAUGUUUCACCAACGCCUUCGGCUGUCGGUUGUUUUGUUUGUACCCACGGGUCAACACCUGCACAAGAUCUGUGA
Molecule: ribosomal RNA, 522 nt
Filed under: Triticum aestivum (bread wheat)
Lineage: Eukaryota; Viridiplantae; Streptophyta; Magnoliopsida; Poales; Poaceae
Description: partial small subunit ribosomal RNA
Source: RNAcentral